GGGCCCAUAGCUCAAUGGUUAGAGCCGACCGCUCAUAACGGUCUGGUUGGGGGUUCGAGUCCCUCUGGGCCUACCA
Molecule: transfer RNA, 76 nt
Filed under: Novispirillum itersonii
Lineage: Bacteria; Pseudomonadati; Pseudomonadota; Alphaproteobacteria; Rhodospirillales; Novispirillaceae
Also listed under: 1 other name
Description: tRNA-Ile
Rfam family: tRNA
About the family: Transfer RNA (tRNA) molecules are approximately 80 nucleotides in length. Their secondary structure includes four short double-helical elements and three loops (D, anti-codon, and T loops).
Source: RNAcentral